AUGACAAUUUCAUCCGAGAAAAAACAUGUUGCAGUUUAUGUUUUUCCAUUUGGAAGCCAUCCUGUUGCACUCUUAAACCUUCUCCUCAAACUAGCACAUGCUUCACCAAACACACUUUUCUCAUUCAUUAGCACCCAAAAAUCUAAUGAACCUCUUUUUACAAAACCAAACAUCCCAAAUAGCAUCAAAUUUUAUAGUAUUCAUGAUGGUGUUCCACAAGGUCAUGUACUUGGUUCCAACCCUGUAGGUGUUUAG
This is a non-coding RNA of Vicia faba (fava bean), 255 nucleotides long. The record is from the annotation of a GenBank genome assembly. NCBI's taxonomy places the organism in Eukaryota, Viridiplantae, Streptophyta, Magnoliopsida, Fabales, Fabaceae.